RNAcentral lists this ribosomal RNA (409 nucleotides) under Ruditapes philippinarum (Manila clam). RNAcentral's name for it is "partial 16S ribosomal RNA". It matches the Rfam family "Bacterial large subunit ribosomal RNA", at positions 1924 to 2545 of the family's 2925-position model. Lineage: Eukaryota; Metazoa; Mollusca; Bivalvia; Venerida; Veneridae. The record is from RNAcentral.
UAAAUGGCUGCAACGAGAGUUGUACUAAGGUAGCGCGAUAAUUUGUCUCUUAAUUAGAGAAUGGUAUAAAGGGUUAGACGUGGGAUUAUUGUCUCUAAAAAAAUACAGUUAAGUUUCCUUUUAAAUAAAAAGGUUUAAAUUUAUUAAAAGACGAGAAGACCCUGUCGAGCUUAAUUAAAUAAAAAACUAGAUAUGGUUAAAUGAAAAGUGUUAAUAGUUUAAUUGUUGGCUGAGUUUUUAAUUCGAAGUUUAGUUGGGGAGAGCUGAGUUUAAGGUAAUAAACUUAAGAAAUACUAAAGAUCCUCUUUGAGAGAAGUUAGCAAAAGCUACCGCAGGGAUAACAGCGUAAUUCUUUUUAAGAGAUCUUAUUGAGGGAAGAGUUUGCGACCUCGAUGUUGGAUUAGAAAAA